This 77-nucleotide transfer RNA is filed under the name Candidatus Peregrinibacteria bacterium CG10_big_fil_rev_8_21_14_0_10_42_8. RNAcentral describes it as "tRNA-Thr". It matches the Rfam family "tRNA". From Rfam's summary of the family: Transfer RNA (tRNA) molecules are approximately 80 nucleotides in length. Their secondary structure includes four short double-helical elements and three loops (D, anti-codon, and T loops). The record is from RNAcentral. Lineage: Bacteria; Candidatus Peregrinibacteriota. RNAcentral also lists the same sequence under 1 other name.
GCCACCUUAGCUCAGUUGGCCAGAGCAACGCACUUGUAAUGCGUGGGUCCGGAGUUCGAAUCUCCGAGGUGGCUCCA